Molecule: ribosomal RNA, 253 nt
Filed under: uncultured bacterium
Lineage: Bacteria
Description: partial 16S ribosomal RNA
Rfam family: Bacterial small subunit ribosomal RNA
Source: RNAcentral
UACGUAGGGUGCAAGCGUUGUCCGGAAUUAUUGGGCGUAAAGAGCUCGUAGGCGGUCUGUCGCGUCGGCUGUGAAAUCCCGAGGCUCAACCUCGGGUCUGCAGUCGAUACGGGCAAACUGGAGUGUUGCAGGGGAGACUGGAAUUCCUGGUGUAGCGGUGAAAUGCGCAGAUAUCAGGAGGAACACCUGCGGCGAAGGCGGGUUGCUGGGCUGACACUGACGCUGAUGCGCGAAAGCUAGGGGAGCGAACGGG